UGAAGAUUUUGUGACUGAGUGGCGGACGGGUGAGUAACGCGUGGGUAACCUGCCUCAUACAGGGGGAUAACAGUUGGAAACGACUGCUAAUACCGCAUGACACAUUAAAGUCGCAUGGCUUUGAUGUCAAAGAUUUAUCGCUGAAAGAUGGCCUCGCGUCUGAUUAGCUAGUUGGUGAGGUAACGGCCCACCAAGGCGACGAUCAGUAGCCGGACUGAGAGGUUGAACGGCCACAUUGGGACUGAGACACGGUCCAUACUCC
RNAcentral lists this ribosomal RNA (262 nucleotides) under uncultured Eubacteriales bacterium. RNAcentral's name for it is "uncultured Clostridiales bacterium partial 16S ribosomal RNA". It matches the Rfam family "Bacterial small subunit ribosomal RNA", at positions 77 to 339 of the family's 1533-position model. Lineage: Bacteria; Bacillati; Bacillota; Clostridia; Eubacteriales. The record is from RNAcentral.